GCCAGUGUGGUGUAGUGGUUUGAGUGUUGGACUACGACUCUAGAAACCAGGAUUCGAUCCCUACUUUGUCA
This is a non-coding RNA of Phrynosoma platyrhinos (Desert horned lizard), 71 nucleotides long. NCBI's taxonomy places the organism in Eukaryota, Metazoa, Chordata, Lepidosauria, Squamata, Phrynosomatidae. The record is from the annotation of a GenBank genome assembly.